AUUUCAUUGCAUUGGAGCUUUAUUUGCUGCUUCUUUAAUAUGAAAAGCCAUUGGGAGAUCUGGGGAGACGCCAACAGCUGCCUGUGGGGAGACUGAUGCCUCACUUCCCGAUGAACAAGUCAGCACAACUGAAUUGGAGCUCCGCAUCAAGCUUUUGAGAGAAAACAGUGAGUUGCAGAAACUUCAGAAGCAACUUGUGUUUGGUGGGAUCUUGACAGAAGCGGAAUUCUGGGUGGCAUGGAAGAAAUUGCUGGAUAGAGAGUCAAAUAUAAAAUCAAAGCAACGCGUAGGCUUCAAAGGCGCCAUGAUUUCGGACAUUAAACCAGCAACAGAUGGCAGGGUAUGAUACUGAACUCUCCAACCUAGCAUGCCCAUGUCACGAUUUUAUCUUGGAUUUGCAGGACUUGGAGUACAUUUGUUCUCCUUUUUUGCAAUUUCAUUGGCAACGAGAACUUAUGGUUAUUUCUUCCCUAUUUAUCU
This is a long non-coding RNA of Rhodamnia argentea, 480 nucleotides long. RefSeq lists it as uncharacterized. The transcript has 3 exons. The record is from RefSeq and is a predicted model, not a curated record. NCBI's taxonomy places the organism in Eukaryota, Viridiplantae, Streptophyta, Magnoliopsida, Myrtales, Myrtaceae.